AAUGAUGCCAAUUUCUUUGCCGCCACGGUUUCCGUCACGGUCUCUCGCCUUUUGCACUGUGCUACGAUGUACAUACAAAAUCAUGGUACUUCUUUGAGGCACGGGAGUGGGGAUUUGCCGAUGCUGAUGGCCCAGUUACUGUACGCGGUUUCUGGGGCGGUUGAUUCAACCACGGGAUGUUGCGCCCGCUGGCUUUCAUUUUGACAAGUGCAGCAUUGCCACGGAGACAGAUCAAUCGGUUUUUCCUGCCUAAUAUCUGCGGCGCAAAUGCUCUCCUAAGUGUAAUACGUAACCUGCACCGCACAGUUCUCGUGUGGUGCAUCAUGGUCGUCGUCAGUUAAUGCUUGCGAAAGUGCCUUGAGUACGCGGCGGGAUACUUGGGUG
Molecule: small RNA, 384 nt
Filed under: Histoplasma ohiense
Lineage: Eukaryota; Fungi; Ascomycota; Eurotiomycetes; Onygenales; Ajellomycetaceae
Description: hypothetical lncRNA
Source: RNAcentral